This is a long non-coding RNA of Mugil cephalus (flathead mullet), 431 nucleotides long. RefSeq lists it as uncharacterized. The record is from RefSeq and is a predicted model, not a curated record. NCBI's taxonomy places the organism in Eukaryota, Metazoa, Chordata, Actinopteri, Mugiliformes, Mugilidae. The transcript is spliced from 3 exons.
GACGAGCAGCAGAGCAGCUAGUGAGCAGGCUGAAGCUGCAUGGACUCUAUGUGUGUGCGUUCACCGUAUCCUGUGUGCGUUCUUGAGGAAAUGGGCACACAGGGCUGUUGUGACGCAGAGACCCGACUGGUCAUGGAUAUAUACAGGAGAGACAAGCGUCCUCAGAUGUGAGACUGACAAUGGAGGAGACUCAGAGUGGGAGUAUGAAUGGAGAACAACGAGCUCAAUAAAACCUCCAAAUGAAAGAGAAUUCAGGAUUACUGCUAGUGAAUGGCACUGGGGAAGGUUGAACAUCCAUCUGCAGGAUGGAGGUUUUACUGGUAUAAAGCUGCUCCAGAUGACUGUUUUGGGGCCCAAGGGAGACCUACACAAUAUUAGGAAGGUGGUCAUAAUGUUAUGCUCAUCCUGCCAGCAGGGGGUGCUGUUGUCCC